GACGAACGCUGGCGGCGUGCUUAACACAUGCAAGUCGAACGAAGUGGCGAACGGGUGAGUAACGCGUAAUCACCCUGCCCUUCAGAGGGGGACAACAGUUGGAAACGACUGCUAAUACCGCAUAGUGAAGAGGGAGAUUGCGUGUGAUUUGGUAGUUGGAGGGGUAACGGCCCCCCAGGGCGAUGAUCAGUAGCCGGUCUGGGAGGAUGAACGGGCAAAUUGGGACUGAGACAAGGGCCAAACUCCUAAGGGAGGCAGCCGGGGGGAAAUGUCCGAAAUGGAGGAAAGGCUGACGGAGCAACGCCGCGGGAGUGAUGACGGCCUUCGGGUUGUAAAGCUCUGUUAAUCGGGACGCGGUACCGGAAUAGAAAGCCACGGCUAACUACGUGCCAGCAGCCGCGGUAAUAC
Molecule: ribosomal RNA, 408 nt
Filed under: uncultured bacterium
Lineage: Bacteria
Description: partial 16S ribosomal RNA
Rfam family: Bacterial small subunit ribosomal RNA
Source: RNAcentral